GACGAACGCUGGCGGCGUGCUUAACACAUGCAAGUCGAGCGGUAAGGCCCUUUCGGGGGUACGACGAGCGGCGAACGGGUAGAGUAACACGUGGGUGGACCUGCCCUCCAGCUCUGGGAGUAAGCCUCGGGAAACCGGGUCGUAAUACUGGAUAUGACUCCAUGACGCAUGUUGUGGGGUGGAAAGCCUUGUGCGGCUGAGGAUGGGCCC
This 210-nucleotide ribosomal RNA is filed under the name uncultured bacterium. RNAcentral describes it as "partial 16S ribosomal RNA". It matches the Rfam family "Bacterial small subunit ribosomal RNA", at positions 28 to 232 of the family's 1533-position model. The record is from RNAcentral.